GUACUUCAGCAGAGCAUAUACCGAAACUGGAAUGAUACAGAAAAGGUCAGCAUGGUCCAUUAACAAAGAUGACAGACAAAUCUGUGAAGUGUUCCAUAUUUUU
This is a small nuclear RNA of Ornithorhynchus anatinus (platypus), 103 nucleotides long. The record is from RefSeq and is a predicted model, not a curated record. NCBI's taxonomy places the organism in Eukaryota, Metazoa, Chordata, Mammalia, Monotremata, Ornithorhynchidae.